Molecule: ribosomal RNA, 1313 nt
Filed under: Terriera minor
Lineage: Eukaryota; Fungi; Ascomycota; Leotiomycetes; Rhytismatales; Rhytismataceae
Description: eukaryotic LSU rRNA
Rfam family: Eukaryotic large subunit ribosomal RNA
Source: RNAcentral
CAGGGAUUGCCUCAGUAACGGCGAGUGAAGCGGCAAUAGCUCAAAUUUGAAAGCUGGCGCAAGCCCGCGUUGUAAUUUGUAGAGGAUGCUUCGGGUGUGGCUCUAGUCUAGGUUCCUUGGAACAGGACGUCAUAGAGGGUGAGAAUCCCGUAUAUGGCUGGUGGCCUACGCCUAUGUGAAGCUCCUUCGACGAGUCGAGUUGUUUGGGAAUGCAGCUCAAAAUGGGUGGUGUACUCCAUCUAAAGCUAAAUAUUGGCCAAAGACCGAUAGCGCACAAGUAGAGUGAUCGAAAGAUGAAAAGCACUUUGGAAAGAGAGUUAAACAGUACGUGAAAUUGUUGAAAGGGAAGCGCUUGCAAUCAGACUUGCGCGGCGUUGAUCAGCUUAGGUUCUCCUUUGCGCACUCGGCGCCGUUCAGGCCAGCAUCAGUUCUGGCGGUUGGAUAAAGGCCCAGGGAACGUGAGUGGCUUCGGCCACUGUUAUAGCCCUGGGUGCAAUGCAGCCUGCUGGGACUGAGGACCGCGCUUCGGCUAGGAUGCUGGCGUAAUGGUUGUAAGCGACCCGUCUUGAAACACGGACCAAGGAGUUGAUGUAUAAUGCGAGUGUUUGGGUGUUAAACCCAUACGCGUAAUGAAAGUGAACGGAGGUGAGAGUCCUUAAGGAUGCAUCAUCGACCGAUCCUGAUGUCUUCGGAUGGAUUUGAGUAAGAGCAUUAUGCAUCUGACCCGAAAGAUGGUGAACUAUGCCUGAAUAGGGUGAAGCCAGAGGAAACUCUGGUGGAGGCUCGCAGAGGUUCUGACGUGCAAAUCGAUCUUCAAAUUUGGGUAUAGGGGCGAAAGACUAAUCGAACCAUUGAACACCUACUAGGUGGUUGAGAGGCCUGGUUUCCAGGCCUAGUCGCAGCAGCGGCUACACUGCAAAACUGCGGGGACAGCUCGAUAGGCGCAGGUUACUCCAGCAGGCUCGAAAGGGCCUGCCACAGUCACAAAGCCGCGCGCCUGAGCCGAUCCGCAACCAACGCCUACAGCGCACGCGGUCCCUACCCGGGGGUCGCAACCAGCCAGCCUACCCGGCGGUUGGGCGCCAUGGUGCGGGCUCAUCGACUAGAUGGCAGUGGGUUCUACAUAGAGCYUAAGGGAUAGUCAGACUCCAGCGCGCGCAACGCUGGAGGUGAAUCGCUAGUAGCUGGUUCACGCCGAAGUUUCCCUCAGGAUAGCAGUGUUGUAUUCAGUUUUAUGAGGUAAAGCGAAUGAUUAGAGGCCUUGGGGUUGAAACAACCUUAACCUAUUCUCAAACUUUAAAUAUGUAAGAAGU